CCUGAGAAACCCAAAAGAUCGAAUGGGGAGAUUCAUCGUCAGCUCAUUUUAUAUAUAUGCUAGUUAUGAUAUGGGUUACUAACUUGUAGUAUUGCCUGUAACAUUCUUGUAUAUUUAAUUGUAAGAUGUUGUCGGCGUGCACUUCUCCCCUAGUAGGACGUCGCGACCCGUUGAGUGUUUCGGUCUACGGCCCAAGUGGAAGCUUUUAAUGAAUUUUAUUUAUUGAAAACCCUUGGUGUUUCCUGACUGGCACUCGUCGGUAUUCGUAUGGUAUUGAUCAGCCGCAUAUUAUAUGCGUUCGUAUCUGUCGCAAGCGAGGUUAGUUACUGAUAGUGCGGACCCAGUGCCGUCGUUGGUGCUAAUCAGCUGUUGGUUGUACAGAACUCUAGAACUGGCUCGUUGAAAUACCGGUCGGCGAUGCUACUGCUUUGGG
Molecule: ribosomal RNA, 433 nt
Filed under: Nesaulax sp. NML-2000
Lineage: Eukaryota; Metazoa; Arthropoda; Insecta; Hymenoptera; Braconidae
Description: eukaryotic LSU rRNA
Source: RNAcentral